RNAcentral lists this ribosomal RNA (435 nucleotides) under uncultured bacterium. Its description in RNAcentral is "partial 16S ribosomal RNA". It matches the Rfam family "Bacterial small subunit ribosomal RNA", at positions 28 to 507 of the family's 1533-position model. The record is from RNAcentral.
AGCGAACGCUGGCGGCAGGCUUAACACAUGCAAGUCGAGCGGGCACGUUCGGGUGUCAGCGGCUGACGGGGGAGUAACGCGGGGGAACGUGCCCUCGGGUUCGGAAUAACUCAGGGAAACAUGAGCUAAUACCUGAUACGCCCUCCUGGUGGAAGGCUUGCCGCCGGAGGGUCGGCUCGCGUCUGCUUAUCUAGUUGGUGAGGUAACGGCACACCAAGGCGACGAGCGGUAGCUGGUCUGAGAGGAUGCUCAGCCACACGGGGGCUGCGACACGGCCCCGUCUCCUACGCAGGGCAGCAGUGGGGAACAUUAGACGCUGGGCGCAAGCCUGAUCCCGCCAUGCCGCGUGAGUGAUCAUGGGCUUAGUGUUGUAAAGCUCUUUUAUCCGGGACGAUAAUGACGGUACCGGGUGAAUAAGCCCCGGCUAACUACGUG